RNAcentral lists this ribosomal RNA (482 nucleotides) under uncultured bacterium. RNAcentral describes it as "bacterial SSU rRNA". It matches the Rfam family "Bacterial small subunit ribosomal RNA", at positions 20 to 518 of the family's 1533-position model. The record is from RNAcentral.
UGGCUCAGGACGAACGCUGGCGGCGCGCCUAACACAUGCAAGUCGAACGGACUUAGAGAGCUUGCUCUUAAGUUAGUGGCGGACGGGUGAGUAACACGUGAGCAACCUGCCUUUCAGAGGGGGACAACAGUUGGAAACGACUGCUAAUACCGCAUAAGACCACGGGAUGGCAUCAUUCUGCGGUCAAAGAUUUAUCGCUGAAAGAUGGGCUCGCGUCCGAUUAGAUAGUUGGUGAGGUAACGGCCCACCAAGUCGACGAUCGGUAGCCGGACUGAGAGGUUGAACGGCCACAUUGGGACUGAGACACGGCCCAGACUCCUACGGGAGGCAGCAGUGGGGGAUAUUGGACAAUGGGGGGCCAACCCUGAUCCAGCGACGCCGCGUGAGGGAAGAAGGUUUUCGGAUUGUAAACCUCUGUUGACAGGGAAGAAAAUGACGGUACCUGUUUAGAAAGCCACGGCUAACUACGUGCCAGCCGCCGC